This 402-nucleotide ribosomal RNA is filed under the name uncultured Sphingomonas sp. Its description in RNAcentral is "bacterial SSU rRNA". It matches the Rfam family "Bacterial small subunit ribosomal RNA", at positions 355 to 774 of the family's 1533-position model. Lineage: Bacteria; Pseudomonadati; Pseudomonadota; Alphaproteobacteria; Sphingomonadales; Sphingomonadaceae. The record is from RNAcentral.
UGGGGAAUAUUGGACAAUGGGCGAAAGCCUGAUCCAGCAAUGCCGCGUGAGUGAUGAAGGCCUUAGGGUUGUAAAGCUCCUUUACCCGGGAUGAUAAUGACAGUACCGGGAGAAUAAGCUCCGGCUAACUCCGUGCCAGCAGCCGCGGUAAUACGGAGGGAGCUAGCGUUAUUCGGAAUUACUGGGCGUAAAGCGCACGUAGGCGGCUUUGUAAGUAAGAGGUGAAAGCCCAGAGCUCAACUCUGGAAUUGCCUUUUAGACUGCAUCGCUUGAAUCAUGGAGAGGUCAGUGGAAUUCCGAGUGUAGAGGUGAAAUUCGUAGAUAUUCGGAAGAACACCAGUGGCGAAGGCGGCUGACUGGACAUGUAUUGACGCUGAGGUGCGAAAGCGUGGGGAGCAAACA